This 191-nucleotide ribosomal RNA is filed under the name uncultured Staphylococcus sp. RNAcentral's name for it is "partial 16S ribosomal RNA". It matches the Rfam family "Bacterial small subunit ribosomal RNA", at positions 151 to 334 of the family's 1533-position model. Lineage: Bacteria; Bacillati; Bacillota; Bacilli; Caryophanales; Staphylococcaceae. The record is from RNAcentral.
GGGAAACCGGAGACUAACUACCGGAUAAUAUUUUGAACCGCAUGGUUCAAAAGUGAAAGACGGUCUUGCUGUCACUUAUAGAUGGAUCCGCGCUGCAUUAGCUAGUUGGUAAGGUAACGGCUUACCAAGGCAACGAUGCAUAGCCGACCUGAGAGGGUGAUCGGCCACACUGGAACUGAGACACGGUCCAG